GGGCGGUGGCGGGAUGCGCGGCGCGGGCCGCGGCAGGAUUUUGAUGGCAUUUUUAGAAGUUCUUUUGUGGCUUAAGUUUUGAGGACUCCACUCAAGUAUUUCAAAGUUUAAAAAAAAAGUUUGUCCACAUCAAGGCUGAUCAGCUGACUUGGAAGAUGUGCAUGAAACGGAAGACUGGGUUUAAAAAUAACAUGUGGAUUCUCGUAGAAGAUUGAUAGCACUGUCAGCAUUUGUCCACAAUAGAAGAUGGGUGGAUUAAUUUCAAGAUGGAGGCAGACAAAGCCUUCCACUGUAGAAGUAUUAGAAAAAAUUGAUAAGGAAAUACAGACAUUAGAAGAGUUUCAGGAAAAAAAUCAGAGGCUACAGAAACUAUGGGUUGGAAGGCUGCUUCUCUACUCUUCACUUCUUUACCUUAUCACCUGCGUAAUUGUCUAUUUUUGGUGUCUUCCUGAUGAAUGGACAGCAAGGGUGGUUAUGACACUUCCAUUUUUUGCAUUUCCAUUGAUAAUCUGGUUUAUAAGAACACUGCUCAUUUUUUUCUUUUCCAAAAGGACGGAAAGGAAUAAUGAUGCACUGGAAGAUUUAAAGACUCAAAAGAAAAAAAUACUUGAGGAAGUAAUGGAGAAGGAAACAUACAAAACUGCUAAGCUAAUCCUUGAAAGGUUUGAUCCAGAAUCGAGUGCAAAGGAGACUGAGCCACCAUCUGCUGGAACAUCUGCAACCCCGAGACCUGGACAAGAAAUUCGUCAGAGGACCACAGCUCAAAGAAAUGCUUCUGUGCCUCCACCUGCAACUUCUAAACAAGGCUCUCCAAAAUCACUGGUUCCAGCAUCUCCUAAUCUCCAGAGAGACACAGCAGAUUUGAGUGGACCCACAGAAAGAGCUAUUGUGCCAUCCUUGCAGUCAAAUGUUUCACCAAGACGCCCUGGAUCCCCUGCUACUUCAGUGCCUGGAAUGGGUCUUCAUCCUCCAGGGCCUCCUUUAGCAAGACCUAUUCUUCCUCGGGAAAGAGGAGUUGUGGAUAGAGUUAUUGAAUAUUUGGUUGGUGAUGGUCCUCAGAACAGGUAUGCCCUUAUAUGUCAGCAAUGCUUUUCUCACAAUGGUAUGGCUUUGAAGGAGGAGUUUGAAUACAUAGCAUUUAGGUGUGCCUACUGCUUUUUCCUGAAUCCUGCAAGAAAAACUAGACCUCAGGCUCCACGACUUCCAGACUUCAGUUUUGAAAAAAGGCAGUCUACAGAAUUGCCAUCUGAAGCUGAGCUGCUAGAACCUAGAGAGAGGAAACCUCAGAAGACAGAACAGUCAGAAGAGUCUGAAGAAGACACAGCCCAGAUUGUUGAGACAAACGAGAUGGAUGAUAAAGCACCAAGUCCUGAGCAGCUAAAUGAUAAGCCAGCUGAAGAAGUUGAAAAAGAAGAAAACAUUUCAACAACUGAAGACUCUAUUUCACAGUCUAUUUCAGCCGCACAAAGUGAAGAAUCUUUAAUGAAAACAGAAUAAAGUACUUCAAGUGCCUUCUGUAGCUAGUUCUUAGCUUUGUUCAUGCCUGUUGUUACUAUUCAGAGAUGCUGGAUUUGUAGAAAACUCAAGCAACAAAGACCUUCCAGUUCUCCUGAAAUGGUCUGCCCUCUAAUUCCUUGCAUCGCUUCAAGGAGUUCUGCUCAGCUGCCGAAACUUAAUUUUGACUUGUUCAGCACACAAAGAAAAAUGUUUUAUAAAAACACCAAGAAAAUGCAUUUUUGAGAAAACUAUUUUAAGUGACAUUUUAGAAGAAAUGUGAAAGUUGAUAUUUCUUAAGGAAUGUUUCAACUUGUAUUUUUUGUAUACUGAGAAUUUAUUUAAGCAGGAGAUCCGGUAUAUUUAUAGCUUAAGUUCUUGUUGUUAUAAUAGCCUUAUUGCUGCAUUAGUAAAGUGUAUGUGUGUUUAUGUACUAUAAAUAGUAUCUUUAUCAGAAGUAUCAUUUUAGUGCUAGCUGUGGCCUUGACCAGUAGUUACAUCACCUGCACUUGAAACUCCAUUAAAAUCAAUGGCAAAGAUGUGAAUUAGUGUGAAUUCUUAGGGCCUAAUAGACUUCCUGAAAUGUCUGUCUUAGGUUUUUUUCUUGUAGUAGAGAAAAUAUUUAAACUUGUGCUCUCCUUUCAAAAUACAGUAGUAUGAAAUUAAAUGGUAUGGCUUGUUGUUUGACUGUAUGCUGCAUCUGCUGUAUGUAUCUUCUUGAGGAAAUGCUUGAUUCUAAAAAAGCUAUUGAAUAUUCAUCUGAUCUGGAUUAUGAUGAUGGCUGGGAUAAGUCAGGUUGCUCUUUGCAUAGUAGUGACUUAUGGUUUUAAGGUAGUAAUUCCAGCGUUUAGUAGUUUAUUCUGUGCUGGCUUUAUGCAAUCAACUUGGAUUCGAUAGUUUUUUUUUUAAAAAAAUAUUUGAAGAACCCCAUAUGUUACCCAAACAAGGAUGAGGAUACUCCAACUUUUUCAGUGCAACCCUCACUCACAAGUUGGACUGGCAUGUGGAGGAAAAGAAAGUUGUUCAAGGUUGAGUAGCUUCUGAUAAGACCCAUUUAUCUGUGCUACAUCCAAUUGUGAGAAUUCCUGGCUCAUGGUAUUAACAGCCAGCUACCCAUCCUCAAAGGUCAGGCUGGCAUACAACUGCAAAAUUUUGUGUGUGCAGUGAAGUAGAGCCAUGGAAAAACCUGUCUUGACUCAGUAGAAAAAUUGUGUGGCAACUUCAGAGGGGACUGUGGAGUUGUGAAGAUUCUGAUUGUGGCCUGUGAUUUUGUAGACACAUACAUUUCAGGGUGGGUAUUACAGGUUUUAUUGUAUCUGAAUGGUGAUUUAUGUCCUUAUUCUUGUAUUAUUGCCUACAAGGUACUGCCCUGUGUCACAGGCCUGUAUUAUCUAAUUUUUUCAGACUUUCGUUUUCAUUAGUAAAGCUACUUUAGCUUGUGA
RNA transcript from Colius striatus (speckled mousebird), 2936 nucleotides. It is a transcript of the gene named lunapark, ER junction formation factor, with no coding region annotated. The transcript has 15 exons. NCBI's taxonomy places the organism in Eukaryota, Metazoa, Chordata, Aves, Coliiformes, Coliidae. The record is from RefSeq and is a predicted model, not a curated record.